RNA transcript from Drosophila rhopaloa, 5016 nucleotides. It is a transcript of the gene named semaphorin-2A, with no coding region annotated. The transcript has 16 exons. The record is from RefSeq and is a predicted model, not a curated record. NCBI's taxonomy places the organism in Eukaryota, Metazoa, Arthropoda, Insecta, Diptera, Drosophilidae.
UCGAACGGUUAUUCUUUGCGGAUGGUGAACGGGAAUGAGGAAAAGCGGAAAAGCGCAGCCAGAAGCCCAGUUGAAAACUCGUGAAUAGUUGUGAGCAGUGCCAAGAAAGAAACAAGUACAAAAACGAAUAAAUAUAAACCGAAACUUGGGUGAUAAGUGCAACGACUCAUCAUCGGGGGACUCAGUUUCCAGUGAGGUUUUCACCGACCAUUUCCGAAGCGAGACGAGCGGAGCCAAAACGAGUGUGUUUAUUUAACACACUUCCUCGUUGCGAAAGCCUUCAGUUCGUGUCUGCUGCUCGCGAAGUGCGCGCCACAGUGAAGAGGGAAAGCGGAAGCGGAAACGGAAACGAGUGCGCAACCGAGAACGGAAACGGAAACGAAGGAACAUGUGUGUGUGACGGGACUGAUCGCGCUGUUCCCCAAAAACAAAAUAAAAGAUCGCUCAAUGCCAAGUAAAAGAUUGCUCAAUUAGUGAACUAGUGAACAACGCCAGAAACAAAUCAGUGACUAAAACUGCGCCAUCAAAAUAAACAAAUACUUUAGCGCGGACUUAAGCCAGGCCAAAAGGCAGGCAGGCAACAUGUGUGCCCCGGGGAACCUCAAUCGGCUCCUCAAUCGCCCCAGCAGCCUCACAGCUCUGCUCCUCGUCCUGGUCGCCCAAGCCAUCCACGUGGAAUACGCCCGGGCGGACUAUGAGAACACCUGGAACUUAUAUUACGAGCCGCCCUGCUGCACGGGCUCAUCUGCCGGCCAUCAUCUGCGCCACCACAAAGAUCAUGUGAAGGACUUCAGUUGCGGGCCGCUGCACUACAAGACGUUCUAUACGGAUGAGCACAAUAAUGCCCUUUAUGUGGGCGCCAUGGAUCGCAUAUUUCGGCUCAAUCUGCGCAACAUCAGCCAAUCGAUUUGUGAGCGCGAUGUCCUCAUAUUGGAGCCCACCGGAUCGGAUAUCCUGAAUUGUGUGUCCAAGGGCAAACGCGAGAAGGUGGAAUGCCGCAAUCACAUAAGGGUUAUUCAGCCGAUGAACUUCAAUGGCCAGAAGCUAUACGUUUGCGGAACCAACGCCCACAAUCCCAAGGAUUACGUAAUAAAUGCAAACUUAACACAUUUACCCAGAUCCCAGUACGUGCCCGGCGUCGGUCUGGGCAUUGGCAAGUGUCCCUACGAUCCCGCUGACAACUCAACCGCCGUCUAUGUGGAGAACGGAAAUCCCUUCGGCCUGCCCGCCCUGUACGCCGGCACGAAUGCAGAAUUCACCAAGGCGGACUCCGUCAUAUUCCGCUCGGACCUCUACAACCUGACGAAUGGACGCAAGGAGGCCAACUUCAAGAGAACCGUGAAAUACGAUUCCAAGCUGUUGGACAAACCCAACUUUGUUGGCUCCUUUGAAAUUGGAGAGUUUGUGUACUUCUUCUUCCGCGAACACGCCGUGGAGUACAUAAACUGUGGAAAGGCGGUUUACUCCAGAGUAGCUCGAGUUUGCAAAAACGAUAGAGGUGGAAAGUACAUGAUCAGCCAGAAUUGGGCGACCUAUUUAAAGGCGCGGAUGAACUGCAGCAUCUCCAGCGAAUUCCCCUUCUACUUCAACGAGAUACAGUCGGUCUACAAGAUGCCAACGGACGAUACCAAGUUCUAUGCCACUUUCACAACGAAUACGAAUGGUCUGAUUGGGUCGGCAGUUUGCAGCUACGACAUCCGGGACAUCAAUGCGGCCUUCGACGGCAAAUUCAAGGAGCAGGCCACCUCGAACAGCGCCUGGCUGCCCGUGCUGAACUCCAAAGUGCCGGAGCCACGUCCGGGAACUUGCCACAACGACACUGCCACGCUGCCGGACUCCGUGUUGAAUUUCAUUCGCAAACAUCCGCUAAUGGACAAGGCGGUCGAUCAUGAAUUUGGCAAUCCGGUCUUCUUCAAGCGGGACGUCAUACUCACCAAGUUGGUGGUGGACAAGAUACGGAUCGACAAGCUGAACCAGGAGUUCCUAGUGUACUUUGUGGCCACGACGUCGGGUCACAUUUACAAGAUAGUGCAGUUUAUGCACUACGGCCAGCGGCACUCGAAUUUGGUGGAUAUAUUCGAGGCCUCGCCGCAUAAUGAACCGAUCAGGGAGCUGACACUGAGCCACAAGACGGGUUCCUUGUACCUGGCCACCGAUCACCAGGUGAAGCAGAUCGACAUGGCCAUGUGUGCCCGUCGUUACGACAGCUGUUUCCGGUGUGUUUCGGAUCCUUACUGUGGAUGGGAUCAGGAGGUCAAUGCCUGCCGACCUUAUCAACUGGGUCUGCUGCAGGACGUGGCCAACGAGACGUCGGGCAUCUGCGACACGAGUGUCCUGCGAAAGAGAGUCACCUCCUCCUAUGGCCAAACUUUGCACCUCUCCUGCUUUGUCAAAAUGCCGGAAGUUCUGAGAAAGAAACAGACGCGCUGGUACCAUCACUCCACCGAAAAAGGACGCUACGAGGUCCGCUACACGCCCACCAAAUACAUCGAGACGAACGAGGGCGGUCUGGUCCUUUUGGCGGUGAACGAGGGCGACGGCGGGCGCUACGACAGCUACUUGGAUGGCACCCUGCUCUGCAGCUACGGCGUCACCGUGGACGCCCACAGAUGCUCCCCGCCGUCGCAGAAGCAGGAUUACCAGAAAAUCUACUCGCACUGGUGCAACGAGUUCGAAAAAUACAAAUCGGCCAUGAAGCAAUGGCAGGCCAAACAGGAGCAAUGUGGCCUGAAGGACAAAACAGGACCAAUCAGCAGCAACGGCAAGCAUGUGAACGAUGUGUUCAGCAACGAUGCUUUGGUCUGACCCAGAAAGUACUUGUACAGCUUUGAGUUCUUGUCGUCGUCGACGGAGGGCGUGGCCACCGCCCACCGCAAAUUGUACAUUUUCGUGUUCGUGCUUACCAUAUUUGCUCGCUUCUAAAGUUUCUAGUUAAAAUGUAAAUGCGCAGAGAGGCAGUAAGCACCCGAGGAAAAUACGGAGAACCACUAUGAAAAUGUGACAAGGCCGAGCUGAGGAAAAACAAAAUGAACAAAACAAAAAAAAAAAAGAAGAUAGAGGAAAAAACCACUACAAAGACUGAAAUUUUUAAGCUUUUAAAAUCGACAAUAUUUCCAAUAAUUUCGAUGCGUUUUUUGGUCAUGCUUUCGUUUCGUUUUGAGAUGUUGUCAGCGUCAAACUGAAUGAUUUUCGACAUUAACUAACUGAUAUACAAAGAUGGAGUAAACGAGAAAAGUUACUAUCAAAAGGAUCCUGCCAUAAGUCAAAUGGAAAUUACGGUUUUACACUCACACAAAGACACUUACAGAAGACACUAUUUCUAUUUCGAGCUAAGGUUAAGGUAAUCUAACAGAUACGGAUACAGAUACAGAACAGAUACAGAUACAGAUGGAACUGCAACCACCUAAGUGAGAAUCUGACCUAAGGCAAAGUAUUAACCAAGCUCAUGAGGCGCAACGAUUUGAUUUUUAUUUCGAUUUGGUUCAGUUUCCGGCAACUCGUCGCUUGGCCAUUUCGGGUUUGGGGUUGGGAAGAUCUUAAACGAAUUUGUAUAUUACUUAGCCAUAUUUGUUCGACUAAACUAGCGUAAGAUAAACAUAUACACGAAUAGCUGCCCCUGUUUAGGUCAUAGACGAAUAUGGAACCAACUUAUUACGAUAGCCAAAACCGAAGAAACGGAAAUAAAGUUUCAGAAAAGAAAUGACGCACAGCAUAAAGGCUAUAUGAACUAUAGCAUGGGGGAAAAUUGUAAAUAGAAGAGCUUUAGACGUAAGUAAAGUAACAGCAAUGAUUUUCAUUUUUACUCGGCUCCAAAUUUUUAUUUGAAAUUCUCUAUUCGGCAUUAACUCGCUCUUGUAUAGAUUGUGCGUUGGCCUAAUGUUUACGAUAAGCAAUACAUAGUUAUAUAUAUGCAUACGCGUACUUAUAAAUAAAUAUAGAUACAUGAAGUUACUGCAUUGAGACCAACAUGCUCAUGAUUACUUACCCGUAAAUAGCGUAAGUAAGUUGGUGUGGCAAGUAAAUACGUUUUUAGUAAUAUUGCAGAAAUUCAUUCACACAAAACAAAAACAACACAUCUCGUUGCAUUUAGUAAACAUAUUUGUAUCCGCGAAAACUGCCAUAAUAUUGCAAAAAAUCAAGGAAAACCCAAACGCUUGACUCAACCCAAAACCUAAAUAGGUUUUUUUUCAACAGAAAACAAAACAAAAGAGACGAAUGUAAGAAAAUCUUAACCAUUACUCUCACCCAUACACACACUUGAAAUAUUUUUCUAAAGAUUUUCUCUGCAAAAUUUUUAAUGUUUUCAUCUUAGGAUUUACCCAAGCAAAAAAAAAAAGAAGGAAAGCAAAAAUUUUAGCAUUGCAUACUGGCAUUGCCAUUGUAAAUGAACUAAACCAAAACCACAAAAAGAAAACUAUUAAACAACAAAUAUUUAAAAGCUACUAAUGCUCUGAGCUUCUAACUUUAAUGAAUGAAAUGUUUUUGCGUUGCCUUUAGUAGAGUUUUUUUAUUUGAACGUUUAUUGUAAAUAAUUUAAAGAUUAUGUGAAAUGUUUUGUAUGACAAUCACAUGAUGUUGAGUAAAAAAUAAAACAAACGGAAACAAAAGAGAAAAACAAAAGGACACUCGGAAAAAACACGCAGAAAAUAUGAAUCAAAUUGCCAAUGUGGCAAUUAAAGAUGAAAAUUAAUAUUAAUUGAGUACUUAACGAACAAUUCACUGUAAAAAUAUUAAUACAAAUUAAAUAAAUAUUCGCGGUAAAAAUAUAUAUACAUAAAUAGAUAAACGACUUUUACAAAGUAUUCAUACAAUAAAAGAAGAUUUGCGCUUAACCACCAUUCGAAUAAACCAAAUGCAAGGUUCCAUUCGAACAUUUUCAAAACGCAGAUUGGUUCACGAGCUAUCCAAAUAUUUCCGGAAAACAGCAAAAUCCGAAUAAAAGAAACAAAUUAAGAAAAACAAAUUAGAUGUAAACACAUAAAAAGAAAAAUGCAGUAAAUAAAUGUGAUAAGAUUC